Molecule: ribosomal RNA, 119 nt
Filed under: Pteropus alecto (black flying fox)
Lineage: Eukaryota; Metazoa; Chordata; Mammalia; Chiroptera; Pteropodidae
Source: RNAcentral
GUCUACGGCCAUGCCACCCUGAACGUGCCCUAUCUUGUCUGAUCUCGGAAGCUAAGCAGGAUCGGGCCUGGUUAGUACUUGAAUGGGAGACCAUCUAGGAAUACCAGGUGCUGUAGGCA